Molecule: ribosomal RNA, 287 nt
Filed under: uncultured Porphyrobacter sp.
Lineage: Bacteria; Pseudomonadati; Pseudomonadota; Alphaproteobacteria; Sphingomonadales; Erythrobacteraceae
Description: partial 16S ribosomal RNA
Rfam family: Bacterial small subunit ribosomal RNA
Source: RNAcentral
CGAGCGCAACCCUCGUCCUGAGUUGCCAUCAUUAAGUUGGGCACUUUAGGAAACUGCCGGUGAUAAGCCGGAGGAAGGUGGGGAUGACGUCAAGUCCUCAUGGCCCUUACAGGCUGGGCUACACACGUGCUACAAUGGCAUCUACAGUGGGCAGCUAUUCCGCAAGGAUGCGCUAAUCUCCAAAAGAUGUCUCAGUUCGGAUUGUCCUCUGCAACUCGAGGGCAUGAAGGCGGAAUCGCUAGUAAUGGCGCAUCAGCUACGGCGCCGUGAAUACGUUCCCAGGCCUU